Molecule: ribosomal RNA, 344 nt
Filed under: uncultured bacterium
Lineage: Bacteria
Description: bacterial SSU rRNA
Rfam family: Bacterial small subunit ribosomal RNA
Source: RNAcentral
GGACCCGCACAAGCAGUGGAGCAUGUGGUUUAAUUCGAUGCAACGCGAAGAACCUUACCAGGGCUUGACAUACUGCAGAUCUUUUUGAGAAAGAAGAGUGCCUUCGGGAAUGCAGAUACAGGUGGUGCAUGGCUGUCGUCAGCUCGUGUCGUGAGAUGUUGGUUAAGUCCCGCAACGAGCGCAACCCUUAUUUUUAGUUACCAACUUGUUGGGUUCUCUAGAAAGACUGCCGGUGACAAACCGGAGGAAGGUGAGGAUGACGUCAAGUCAGCAUGCCCCUUAUGUCCUGGCUACACACGUGCUACAAUGGUUAAGACAAAGAGUCGCGAGUUCGUGAGAACCAG